UACUGUGUAUACAUAGUG
Molecule: small nuclear RNA, 18 nt
Filed under: Arabidopsis thaliana (thale cress)
Lineage: Eukaryota; Viridiplantae; Streptophyta; Magnoliopsida; Brassicales; Brassicaceae
Description: snRNA_09702
Source: RNAcentral